UUUUUACGUAAAUUAAAUGAGAAAAUACCUUUUUCUUUUCUAGGUUUCUCCUUCUUCUCCUUCUUGGGUCGGCUCGCCGCCAGCGCGCGGGACUCCUGCCUCUGCUUGAUCGUCUCCGAUAUAAAGUUGAACAUUAGUAUGCCUCAUGUCCUGUCGUUCCUGCCCUGCCAACUGCACGCGGGAGGACUUGAUGCUGGCUACUGACAAUGCCACUUCAGUAGCCAAAUACUAUAUAAGUCUGCCAUCGAGUCAAAAAGAAGAUAUUAAAUUCAAUGGAACAAGCGUUUUCCUACUUCAAUGUGACGUCACUAUGUGGUGGACAGUUACCUGGAAGGAGACGAGCAGCGAGAGCGCGGCCACCCGCAGCAGCAGCGGCGCCGGCCCGGCCAGCCCGAAGUAGAACGUGAGCACGCCGAGCACCAGCGAACACAGCCGCACCGACACGAACACAGCGCCGUUGAUCACGCUCAAAACUAAAUAAAACAUACCACAUUACACCAUGAGGCAUUUCGAUAGGAUACCGGUGGACGAGUCUGCUAAGCCGUACUUCGUCGCACUCAAAAUAUUGACGCUCCCGCUCUAAUUCUACAAAUAGCAACCUACGCACGUGCUAAUCUGCACCUAUUCAGGACGAGAGGUGAGAAUGGGAGGCAAGGAUUGCGAUACGGGAACCGCCUUAAUACCAUCCAGCAUCGACUGGCGAAGGCAACUCGGACCAUCCACGCCAUGAGCCCGCACGUUUACAACAGGCUUCCGGAAUCCCUUAAAGAGGCUCGAAGCACGGCAUCUUUCAAAGUCCAACUAAAACGAUGGCUCGUCGAACAAUCGUUCUAUAGCUACGAUGAAUUUAUAAAUCGGAAUUGAUGGAAUUAUAUAUUGUUAGUAAUUACGAUAAAUAUAGAUAUUAUUACUAAUUUAUUACGUAUUGAUUUCAGUACUUAUUAAUUUAUUUAUUUUUAUUGAUAUUAUUUUUAAGACUAUUGUCUAAUGCAUUCUGUAUGAUGUAUAAUGAAUAUUAUGAAUAAAUGAUUUGAUUUGA
This is a long non-coding RNA of Pectinophora gossypiella (pink bollworm), 1039 nucleotides long. RefSeq lists it as uncharacterized. The transcript has 2 exons. The record is from RefSeq and is a predicted model, not a curated record. NCBI's taxonomy places the organism in Eukaryota, Metazoa, Arthropoda, Insecta, Lepidoptera, Gelechiidae.